Molecule: ribosomal RNA, 73 nt
Filed under: uncultured bacterium
Lineage: Bacteria
Description: partial 16S ribosomal RNA
Source: RNAcentral
CCCCAACCCGCGAAGGGAGGGCGGUCCCCAAGGAGGUGGCUGGUAACUGGGGUGAAGUCGUAACAAGGUUACC